ACGAACGCUGGCGGCGUGCCUUACACAUGCAAGUCGAACGGGGUUAAGGGGCUUGCUCCUUAAUCUAGUGGCGCACGGGUGAGUAACGCGUAGAUAAUCUGCCUGAUGAUUUGGGAUAACACUUCGAAAGGGGUGCUAAUACCGAAUAAGCCCACGGAGUCCUUGGACUCUGCGGGAAAAGGGGGGGACCUUCGGGCCUUCCGUCAUCAGAUGAGUCUGCGUACCAUUAGCUAGUUGGUAGGGUAAAGGCCUACCAAGGCGACGAUGGUUAGCUGGUCUGAGAGGAUGAUCAGCCACACUGGAACUGAGACACGGUCCAGACUCCUACGGGAGGCAGCAGUGGGGAAUUUUGCGCAAUGGGGGAAACCCUGACGCAGCAACGCCGCGUGAGUGAUGAAGGCCCUUGGGUCGUAAAGCUCUGACAGAGGGAAAGAAAUGUGGGUGGCUAAUAUCCAUUCCACUUGACGGUACCCUCAAAGGAAGCACCGGCUAACUCCGUGCCAGCAGCCGCGGUAAUACGGAGGGUGCAAGCGUUGUUCGGAUUUAUUGGGCGUAAAGCGCGUGUAGGCGGUUUUAUAAGUCUGAUGUGAAAGCCCUGGGCUCAACCCGGGAAGUGCAUUGGAUACUGUAAGACUUGAAUACGGGAGAGGGCAGUGGAAUUCCUGGUGUAGGAGUGAAAUCCGUAGAUAUCAGGAGGAACACCGGUGGCGAAGGCGGCUGCCUGGACCGAUAUUGACGCUGAGACGCGAAAGCGUGGGUAGCAAACAGGAUUAGAUACCCUGGUAGUCCACGCCGUAAACGAUGAGUACUAGGUGUUGCGGGUAUUGACCCCUGCAGUGCCGCAGCUAACGCAUUAAGUACUCCGCCUGGGAAGUACGGUCG
This 882-nucleotide ribosomal RNA is filed under the name uncultured bacterium. RNAcentral describes it as "bacterial SSU rRNA". It matches the Rfam family "Bacterial small subunit ribosomal RNA", at positions 29 to 888 of the family's 1533-position model. The record is from RNAcentral.